RNAcentral lists this ribosomal RNA (216 nucleotides) under Glomus sp. RNAcentral's name for it is "partial small subunit ribosomal RNA". The stretch from base 38 to 216 matches the Rfam family "Eukaryotic small subunit ribosomal RNA", at positions 684 to 864 of the family's 1831-position model. The record is from RNAcentral. RNAcentral also lists the same sequence under 1 other name. Lineage: Eukaryota; Fungi; Glomeromycota; Glomeromycetes; Glomerales; Glomeraceae.
GGGUUAGUAGAUUGGUCAUGCCUCUGGUAUGUACUGGUUUCACUGAUUCCUCCUUCCUGAUGAACCGUAAUGCCAUUUAUUUGGUGUUGCGAGGAAUUUGGACUGUUACUUUGAAAAAAUUAGAGUGUUUAAAGCAAGCUAACGCUUGAAUACAUUAGCAUGGAAUAAUGAAAUAGGACGUUCGAUCCUAUUUUGUUGGUUUCUAGGAUUGACGUA